Molecule: transfer RNA, 84 nt
Filed under: Erysipelotrichaceae bacterium
Lineage: Bacteria; Bacillati; Bacillota; Erysipelotrichia; Erysipelotrichales; Erysipelotrichaceae
Description: tRNA-Leu
Rfam family: tRNA
About the family: Transfer RNA (tRNA) molecules are approximately 80 nucleotides in length.
Source: RNAcentral
GCUCAGGUGGUGGAACGGUAGACACGCUGGUUUCAGGUACCAGUGGCUUGUGCCGUGUGGGUUCAAAUCCCAUCCUGAGCACCA